AUUACUCCUACGGGAGGCAGCAGUGGGGAAUAUUGCACAAUGGGCGAAAGCCUGAUGCAGCAACGCCGCGUGAGUGAUGACGGCCUUCGGGUUGUAAAGCUCUGUCUUUGGGGACGAUAAUGACGGUACCCAAGGAGGAAGCCACGGCUAACUACGUGCCAGCAGCCGCGGUAAUACGUAGGUGGCAAGCGUUGUCCGGAUUUACUGGGCGUAAAGGGUGCGUAGGCGGACCUUUAAGUGAGAUGUGAAAUCCCCGAGCUUAACUUGGGGGCUGCAUUUCAAACUGGAGGUCUAGAGUGCAGGAGAGGAGAGUGGAAUUCCUAGUGUAGCGGUGAAAUGCGUAGAGAUUAGGAAGAACACCAGUGGCGAAGGCGACUCUCUGGACUGUAACUGACGCUGAGGCACGAAAGCGUGGGGAGCAAACAGGAUUAGAUACCCUGGUAGUCAAU
Molecule: ribosomal RNA, 449 nt
Filed under: uncultured bacterium
Lineage: Bacteria
Description: bacterial SSU rRNA
Rfam family: Bacterial small subunit ribosomal RNA
Source: RNAcentral